CCAUUAUUCUGCUGACUGCAGUACUGUAGAGCAUAAAGUUUCUUAUCCACACUGUUUCUUAGUUCAGUCUGUCAAUAUCACUACUCCACGAUUAUUGUUGUUUGUUUUUCUUUCUCCCUGUCUUUUACCUCAAAAAUCUCUAUUGUGAUGCCAGAGAGACCUUUCUGAAACCUCUCCUUUUUUCUGUGUUUAAAACCCCCCAGUGCCGCCCAUGAAAUACACAGCAAAGUCCAAACUCCUUAUCUUGCUUGGAUCCUCCUUUCCACCCUUUUUAACUGUUCAGCCAUAUUUCUCCAUGUACUUCUGAGAUUGGAACCCAGGGCAACAAAGCUAAUGUGGGUUCUCCAAGAUUAACACAACUGAAAGGAGGCCCCUUUAUGCCAUCUAUUCUAGGUCCCUUGGAAUAUAAUUAAAAACAGGAAUUUCAACAUUGAAAUGUAAUGAUGUUCAGGUAAGGGCAGUAAGGUACAUUGACUUGAGUCAAUCUCCCACCAUGUCUGGGGACUGGGACAGCUGAGCCAGGGGUCCUACCUAAGGGUCAGGCCUGUGUCUUCACUUCUCCUUUCAACCCUUUACUUCUUCCAGAGUUGAACGGCUUACUUUCCUUCUCUCACUAGGCCAUUUCAUGGCUUGUGUUUGCCUGAAAUACAACUCUUUCCCUCCCUGGUCUACACCUGCUCACCCUGAAAGAAAUACCUCUGAGCCCACUUUCUUUCUUGGAAGCAUUUUAUGACUCUUAUUUCUGUUAUCAACACAGCUUUUAUUUAUGUCUCCAUGUAUCCUUUGAAGAAACACAACUUUUCAGGUUCUAUGUUUUAUUUGCAUUCUUAGUGUCUGGCACAUUGUCUGACACAGUGUAAAAGCUGAGUAGAAUUUUGCCUGAUAGCAGAUGUGCCUGAAGUGAGGGUGUCCAAAAUUUCAUUAAAUGACGACUGCUUUAAUAUGAAUUCUUGGCUAAGGCAGGAGAAUCGCUUGAACCCAGGAGGCAGAGGUUGCAGUGAGCCGAGAUCACACCACUGCACUCCAGCCUGUAAUGUCUUACAAUAACAGAAUGCAGGAGAGCACAUAUCAAUGAAGAAAAGACAAAAUGUACUUAUCCAUGAAGCUGAGGUUAAGAAACCAGUGUCUUCAAGAGCCAGGGACAGCACUGGGUCUGUGCAGAGUUGAGAGAUGGUGAUGACAUGUGGUUUCCAGCAUUCCUCACCCAGUCCAGGGACACUGUGGGUGUGCCCAGCUUAAGUCCAGUAACUGGAAAUACAAGCCCAAGUUCUGGAGAGUUUGAGCUGCAGAGAUAUAUAUGGGAACACUUUGAAUCUUGACUCAUUGGCCAUAACCAGCAGAGUGGAAAAUACAAGAAGAGAAAAAAACAUUGAACUGCGAUUUUAUAACAUCCUUUACUAGGCAGAGAGAAGAGGAAACACCAGGAAAGAAAACUGUAUUACGAUGUGAAAACUUAAUGUUGAGAAAUUCAGGCAUCUUGGGGUUAGU
This 1488-nucleotide long non-coding RNA is filed under the name Homo sapiens (human). RNAcentral describes it as "non-protein coding MAGI2-AS3:85". The record is from RNAcentral. Lineage: Eukaryota; Metazoa; Chordata; Mammalia; Primates; Hominidae.